GAUGAACGCUGGCGGCAGGCCUAAUACAUGCAAGUCGAACGGGAUCUGAAGUAGCAAUACUUUGGUGAGAGUGGCGCACGGGUGCGUAACACGUAUGCAACCUACCUUUAACCGGGACACAACCCUCCGAAAGGGGGGCUAAUAUUCCAUGUGAUUAUUUUGUGGCAUCAUAAGAUAAUUAAAGAUUCAUUGGUUAAAGAUGGGCAUGCGUCCCAUUAGCUAGUUGGUGAGGUAACGGCCCACCAAGGCUAUGAUGGGUAGGGGUUCUGAGAGGAUAUACCCCCACACUGGUACUGAGACACGGACCAGACUCCUACGGGAGGCAGCAGUAAGGAAUAUUGGUCAAUGGGCGGAAGCCUGAACCAGCCAUGCCGCGUGCAGGAAGACGGCCCUAUGGGUUGUAAACUGCUUUUGUCAGGGGAUAAACCUAUCUACGUGUAGAUAGCUGAAGGUACCUGAAGAAUAAGGAUCGGCUAACUCCGUGCCAGCAGCCGCGGUAAUACGGAGGAUCCGAGCGUUAUC
This 522-nucleotide ribosomal RNA is filed under the name Sphingobacteriaceae bacterium enrichment culture clone G3. RNAcentral's name for it is "bacterial SSU rRNA". It matches the Rfam family "Bacterial small subunit ribosomal RNA", at positions 28 to 545 of the family's 1533-position model. Lineage: Bacteria; Pseudomonadati; Bacteroidota; Sphingobacteriia; Sphingobacteriales; Sphingobacteriaceae. The record is from RNAcentral.